This is a long non-coding RNA of Homo sapiens (human), 1592 nucleotides long. Ensembl annotates it as long intergenic non-protein coding RNA 1727. Lineage: Eukaryota; Metazoa; Chordata; Mammalia; Primates; Hominidae. The record is from Ensembl.
AUCUGGGCCAAGUUCAGGGCUGGUGCUCUCGUUCAGAUAGAUUUAGCUGGUGGUGCAGAGAUCCGUGAGCUUGCUUUUACAGGACUUUAAUGAUAUAUAAAAGCAGCACGAGGUGCUCCUGACUGUGGAUUAAUUUGGAGAUGACUUUCUCUGUUGAAGAGUAGCAAGACUCUCGCGAGUUCUUAAAAAUGCACUUGUUUGGUAUGAGAAUGAAAAGCAGUGGCUGAAGAACCAAUCUUCAAUGGGCAAGCCUUCUCUGUGUCUGUUCUAACACGUGCCAUUUGGGAUCCCUUGGAAUCUUCAUGUACAGAACUGGUUGCUGCCUCGUUGAGUCGGUGGGGACAGAAUAGCUCCUGGUUGACAGCAUGGGUUGUGCAGAAGGACGGAUCCUGCAGACAUCAAUAUCUGGCUUUGAGUGGCACAAAGAAAUAAAGGAAUGUGGAUUCAGACCUCACUGGGAUGCUUGGCAAUUCUAAUUCUACCCCAGACUGCAAAUGGACACACAACUGUUGUGACUUUUGUUGAAGAGGAGAAGGAUGGUGAAGGUCUCUUUAGUCAAUAAUCUCUUUGCUGAAAUUGCUUCGGGCAGCACAGAAGCUGGAUUCAGAAGCACACAGGUCUGGGGAUGCAGGCUUCGGCCAGCCUGAUGCAAGGAAAGACUGCCAUCUCGUGGUCAGCUCAAUCCUGGCACCUUGGUGAGGGACCAGGCUGCAGAAAACCAGGCUUGGGGAGGAAACGGUGCUGCAAACUGGAUUUCUGCCGGACAGUGUGGAUGCCCUUAGAAAACACCCAGAAAAGAGCUGAGUGCCCCCCAAGACUUGCCCUGAAUUCUUUCAUGUGCAAUAUCCGAAAACCCUCUCUUGGGGCCUGGAUCAGGACCCCUUUCCUAUAACAUCUUUCUGGCGACAACAAAGGGACAAUGGUGUGGAAUCCCCCUUCCCAAAUGCUACUUUUAGAUAUCACCUUUUGUCGGAACUUGGAGUUGGUAAUGACCUUCACCAUACCACCACUCUGGGACUGAGCUUCUCUCUACCCUGAUGCAAGAGACCCUAAUAGGCAGGAAUAUGACCACCCCUAUUCAGCCUGAAGAAGUUACAGAAGUUCUGAAACCCUUAGAAAUGAGGGUCUUCUUGUAAAGGGAGUGGGGAGAUAUAUCAGAGGCAUUUGAACCAGAGCAACUCCAUCUUGAGUGAGGGCUAGGAAAAUGAGGCUAGGACUUGCUGGGCUGCAUUCUCAGAAAGUCAGUCAUUCCUAGCCUCUAGAUGUUUACGGUUAAGGGAACAAAUUUAUAACAUUUACUAAACACACCCAGACUUGGGAGUGUCCAGAUAUCCCAAUAUCUGGAGAACAAAGGCAUUCCUAAUUUUGCUUUAAAGACAAUAAUAUUGAUUCUUGCAAAAUAUAGUAAUUAAGAAAAUUAAUCCUUUAUCACAAACCCUUGUAGUAAAACACAUCUCCCCAUAUAUACAAGCAUUGUACCUAAGGUGGAUGCGUUCCAUCUCUUACUUUCAGGAAUGUCCUACACUAUCUAAGGAGUAGCUGUACUUUCACCACUUUACUUUCUUAAUAAACUUGUUUUUACUUUGCACCAA